UUCCAGGAUUGGGGAGCAUGCCAGUGUGGAUGGAGGGGAGAGGUCAGGGGGUGAAGAUGGGGCGGCCACACGGGGCCUGUGGACCACUGCCAGGACCUUGUCUUUUACUCUGGGUGACCUGGAUCCCCAGGAGGGUGUGAAGCAGAGGGGAAACACGACCUGGCUUCCUCCGGGUAGGGAGGAAUGGCAGGAUGGGGGACACGGUUUGAAAGACACGGCAAUCAUCCAAGCAAGCAUUUUGGUGACUCACACCAGGGUGGGGCUUUGGAGGGGGGAGAGGGAGUGAAGUGAUAGGAUCCUUCUGCAGUCCAUGGGUGAGAAAGAGAGGAGUCAGUGAGGACUGGAAGGCUUUUGGCCUGCGGCCCUGGGAAGACAGAGGUGGUGUGUUCCGCAAUGAAGCUGCAGGAGGGGCGGGGUCACGCAGGGCGGAGAAGAAGUUCAGUGUCCUACCUGGAGCUCUUGAGUUGCCCAUUAGGCAUGUCGAGCCACAGCUGGAUAUUCAACCCUGAGUUCAGGUUGGACAGCAAGUAAAGGUUCAGCUGAAAAGGGGUUUUGCCUACUUUGAAGCAAAAUGUUUGAAAAGCUUUGAUCUUGAAUAAUCUCAUUCUACUGAUGAGAAGACUGGGACCCAGAAAGGAGAGAAAAAAAAAAAGAUGGUCCCAGACUCAGGCAGACCUGACUCUGGCUGAGUGCCUUACGUGGACAGGAAGAGCACAGGACCCCGCACAUCAUAGGUGUUCUGGGGCCCCCGAGCCUGCUGGACACAUGAAAUAAACCUAAGGAACAUCUUUGGGCCUUAUUUUCUGCACCUGUGACCUCAAUGCUCUCCACCGACAUGUACACAGAACCUCUCAACCGCGUGGUGAGAGGACAAACCUGAGGCUCAGAGAGAUAACGUCACUGGCCCCAGGUCACACAGCCAGGAGGUGGAGGAGCCAAGAUUCGAGUCAAGAUCUGUUUGAUUCCAGAACCAAGGCUGCCUUAGUGGGCCAGUGGAGCACCCGGGACUCUGGCUUCUUCGGCGCUCCCCCUGUGAUUCUGACGUGCAGCCUCGGCCAGAGCAGUGAGGCCUACUGUGUGCUGACACAGCUGGGAGUAGGGACACUCUCAGGACCGCCCCAGCCUCCUGGAACUCCGAGCACAACGGGGAAGACAGAUAAUGAUCAGAGAUCAGUGCACAAACAUUACCACAGACUGUGAUCAGCACUGAGAAGAAAAGAUACCUGUGCUUCAAGAAUGUGCACCUACACGAAGCGAUAGAAAAAGGCUGCGAGGAUAUACUCCAAAAUGUUAAAGGGGUAGUAACAUUGCAGGUGAUUCUGCCUGUUUCCUUUUCUUUUGCUUGUCUGUCCGUUCUAAUUUUUCUUUCUUUCUUUUUUUUUAGAAUGCCAUGCUUUAUAAUUGAGUGAAUUAAAAACACAAACAAACCCACAAUGAAUAGAGGGGUUGGAAAUCAUGUGUCCAAAGAUGAUUUAACGCCAGGAAAGAAAGGAAGGACACGCAAGAAACUGCUCACUGUGUUGGCUUCCGGGCAGGGGAGCCAGAGGCUGGGGAGGGAAAGAGCUUCGCUUCUCACUGGACACCCUUCGAACCUUUCCGACGUGUGUGUAUUCAAAAAACAAUAAAAAUAAAAUA
Molecule: long non-coding RNA, 1635 nt
Organism: Myotis lucifugus (little brown bat)
Lineage: Eukaryota; Metazoa; Chordata; Mammalia; Chiroptera; Vespertilionidae
Exons: 5
Source: RefSeq, a predicted model, not a curated record